UGGGGAAUAUUGCACAAUGGGGGGAACCCUGAUGCAGCCAUGCCGCGUGAAUGAAGAAGGCCUUCGGGUUGUAAAGUUCUUUCGGUGAUGAGGAAGGGUGGUGUUUUAAUAGAGCACUACAUUGACGUUAGUCACAGAAGAAGCACCGGCUAACUCCGUGCCAGCAGCCGCGGUAAUACGGAGGGUGCGAGCGUUAAUCGGAAUGACUGGGCGUAAAGGGCACGCAGGCGGUGACUUAAGUGAGGUGUGAAAGCCCCGGGCUUAACCUGGGAAUUGCAUUUCAUACUGGGUCGCUAGAGUAUUUUAGGGAGGGGUAGAAUUCCACGUGUAGCGGUGAAAUGCGUAGAGAUGUGGAGGAAUACCGAAGGCGAAGGCAGCCCCUUGGGAACAUACUGACGCU
Molecule: ribosomal RNA, 400 nt
Filed under: uncultured bacterium
Lineage: Bacteria
Description: bacterial SSU rRNA
Rfam family: Bacterial small subunit ribosomal RNA
Source: RNAcentral